Ochotona princeps (American pika) is the source of this 1692-nucleotide RNA transcript. It is a transcript of the gene named heterogeneous nuclear ribonucleoprotein D like, with no coding region annotated. The record is from RefSeq and is a predicted model, not a curated record. NCBI's taxonomy places the organism in Eukaryota, Metazoa, Chordata, Mammalia, Lagomorpha, Ochotonidae. The transcript has 9 exons.
GCCAGCGCAGCCGGCCCGCUCCUAGCGGACGCCAGGAACCGAGGCCAGAGGCGGCCCUCGCGGCCCGCCAUGGAGGCGCCGCCGCCAUUGUUCCCCGCGGCGCCCGCCCCGCUCGCCGCCCGCAGCCUCGCCCACGGCCGGUCGCGGCCGCAGCCCGCCCCGCUGCUCCCGUCGCUCGUCGCCGGCCCGGGCCGCCAGGGGGCGCGCCGAGCCCCGCGCCACGUCACGGCGCAGUCGCCGUCGCGAUUGGCGGGCGGCGCGGCUAUAAAGGGAGGGCGCAGGCGGCGGCCGGAUCUCUUGCGCCGCCAUCUUAAACCCGGCUCCCUACAACGCUCCGCUGCUGCGCCCGCCAGCCGCCCUGCACGCCAGCCGGCCGCCGCCGACCGCCCCGCCGCAGCCAUGGAAGACGUGAACGAGUACAGCAACACGGAGGAGUUCGCGGAGGGAUCGAAGAUCAACGCGAGCAAGAACCAGCAGGAUGACGGUAAAAUGUUUAUUGGAGGCUUGAGCUGGGAUACGAGCAAGAAAGAUCUGACAGAAUAUUUGUCUCGAUUUGGGGAAGUUGUAGACUGUACAAUUAAGACAGACCCGGUCACUGGAAGAUCAAGAGGAUUUGGAUUUGUGCUUUUCAAAGACGCUGCUAGUGUGGAUAAGGUUUUGGAACUAAAAGAACACAAACUGGAUGGUAAAUUGAUAGACCCAAAAAGGGCCAAAGCUCUAAAGGGGAAAGAACCUCCUAAGAAGGUCUUUGUAGGUGGAUUGAGCCCAGACACUUCGGAAGAGCAAAUUAAAGAAUAUUUUGGAGCCUUUGGAGAGAUUGAAAAUAUUGAACUUCCCAUGGAUACAAAAACAAAUGAAAGAAGAGGAUUCUGUUUUAUCACAUACACAGAUGAAGAACCAGUAAAGAAAUUGUUGGAAAGCAGAUACCAUCAAAUUGGUUCUGGGAAGUGUGAAAUCAAAGUGGCACAACCCAAAGAAGUCUAUAGGCAGCAGCAGCAGCAACAAAAAGGAGGAAGAGGUGCUGCAGCCGCUGGCCGAGGAGGUGUGCGGGGGCGUGGCCGAGGUCAGGGCCAAAACUGGAACCAAGGAUUUAAUAACUAUUAUGAUCAAGGAUAUGGAAAUUACAAUAGUGCCUAUGGUGGUGAUCAAAACUAUAGUGGCUAUGGCGGAUAUGAUUAUACUGGGUAUAACUAUGGGAACUAUGGAUAUGGACAGGGAUAUACAGACUACAGUGGCCAGCAGAGCACUUACGGCAAGGCAUCUCGAGGGGGUGGCAAUCACCAAAACAAUUACCAGCCGUACUAAAGGAGGACUGUAGAGGAAACAGCGGGAACUUCAUUGCAGGCCGUGUGUCACCCUGACCACGUCUAUCUCUGGGGGUCGCACGUUGCGGGCAGAGCGCAAGGCAUACACCAGAAAACGCUGUCCUGUGGAGAUGAUAAAGAAACCAUCUUGCAAGAGGACAUUGAAGAUUGGUCUUCUGUUGAUCUUAAGAUGAUUAUUUUGUAAAAGACUUUCUAGUGUACAAGGCACAAAUGUGUCCAACUGUAAAUAGUCGCCAACGGUUUACUUUGUUUUUACUUUGUCCUUUGCUGUGUGUUUAAGACUCAGUGUGGAUUUGUGUUUAUACAGAUUUUAUUUGUAUGAUUUCUUUUGUUAAACCUCAAAUAAAUGUUUCCUUAUGUGAUUGUU